RNAcentral lists this ribosomal RNA (460 nucleotides) under uncultured bacterium. Its description in RNAcentral is "partial 16S ribosomal RNA". It matches the Rfam family "Bacterial small subunit ribosomal RNA", at positions 338 to 795 of the family's 1533-position model. The record is from RNAcentral.
CCUACGGGAGGCAGCAGUGAGGAAUAUUGGUCAAUGGGCGCGAGCCUGAACCAGCCAAGUAGCGUGAAGGAUGACUGCCCUACGGGUUGUAAACUUCUUUUAUAAAGGAAUAAAGUGAGGCACGUGUGCCUUUUUGUAUGUACUUUAUGAUUAAGGAUCGGCUAACUCCGUGCCAGCAGCCGCGGUAAUACGGAGGAUCCGAGCGUUAUCCGGAUUUAUUGGGUUUAAAGGGAGCGUAGAUGGGGUGUUAAGUCAGUUGUGAAAGGUUGCGGCUCAACCGUAACAUUGCAGUUGAUACUGGCAGACUUGAGUGCAGUUGAGGUAGGCGGAAUUCGUGGUGUAGCGGUGAAAUGCUUAGAUAUCACGAAGAACUCCGAUUGCGAAGGCAGCUUACUAAACGGCCACUGACAUUGAUGCUCGAAAGUGUGGGUAUCAAACAGGAUUAGAUACCCCAGUAGUC